RNAcentral lists this ribosomal RNA (496 nucleotides) under uncultured bacterium. RNAcentral's name for it is "partial 16S ribosomal RNA". It matches the Rfam family "Bacterial small subunit ribosomal RNA", at positions 29 to 507 of the family's 1533-position model. The record is from RNAcentral.
AUGAACGCUGGCGGCGUGCCUAAUACAUGCAAGUCGAGCGAACGGACGAGAAGCUUGCUUCUCUGAUGUUAGCGGCGGACGGGAGAGUAACACGUGGAUCACCUACCUAUAAGACUGGGAUAACUUCGGGAAACCGGAGCUAAUACCGGAUAAUAUUUUGAACCGCAUGGUUCAAAGGUGAAAGACGGUCUUGCUGUCACUUAUAGAUGGAUCCGCGCUGCAUUAGCUAGUUGGUAAGGUAACGGCUUACCAAGGCAACGAUGCAUAGCCGACCUGAGAGGGUGAUGGCCCACCCGGGAACUGAGACACGGCCAAGACUCCGACGGGGGGCAGCAGUAGGGACUCUUCCGCAAGGCAGGAAAGCCUGACGGAGCAACGCGGGGGGAGUGAUGAAGGUCUUAGGAUGGUAAAACUCUGUUAGUAGGGAGGAACAUAUGUGUAAGGAACUGUGCACAUCUUGACGGUACCUAAUCAGAAAGCCACGGCUAACUACGUG